GACGAACGCUGGCGGCGUGCCUAAUACAUGCAAGUUGAGCGCUGAAGGUUGGUACUUGUACCAACUGGAUGAGCAGCGAACGGGUGAGUAACGCGUGGGGAAUCUGCCUUUGAGCGGGGGACAACAUUUGGAAACGAAUGCUAAUACCGCAUAAAAACUUUAAACACAAGGUUUAAGUUUGAAAGAUGCAAUUGCAUCACUCAAAGAUGAUCCCGCGUUGUAUUAGCUAGUUGGUGAGGUAAAGGCUCACCAAGGCGAUGAUACAUAGCCGACCUGAGAGGGUGGUCGGCCACAUUGGGACUGAGACACGGCCCAAACGCCUACGGGAGGCAGCAGUAGGGAAUCUUCGGCAAUGGACGGAAGUCUGACCGAGCAACGCCGCGUGAGUGAAGAAGGUUUUCGGAUCGUAAAACUCUGUUGGUAGAGAAGAACGCUGGUGAGAGUGGAAAGCUCAUCAAGUGACGGUAACUACCCAGAAAGGGACGGCUAACUACGUG
This 497-nucleotide ribosomal RNA is filed under the name uncultured bacterium. Its description in RNAcentral is "partial 16S ribosomal RNA". It matches the Rfam family "Bacterial small subunit ribosomal RNA", at positions 28 to 507 of the family's 1533-position model. The record is from RNAcentral.